CCUACGGGAGGCAGCAGUGGGGAAUUUUGGACAAUGGGCGCAAGCCUGAUCCAGCCAUGCCGCGUGCAGGAUGAAGGCCUUCGGGUUGUAAACUGCUUUUGUACGGAACGAAACGGUCCCUUCUAAUACAGGGGGCUAAUGACG
RNAcentral lists this ribosomal RNA (144 nucleotides) under uncultured bacterium. Its description in RNAcentral is "partial 16S ribosomal RNA". It matches the Rfam family "Bacterial small subunit ribosomal RNA", at positions 338 to 474 of the family's 1533-position model. The record is from RNAcentral.